AUACGGAGGUUGCAAGCGUUAAUCGGAAUUACUGGGCGUAAAGGGUUCGUAGGCGGUUAUUUAAGUCAGAUGUGAAAGCCCCGGGCUCAACCUGGGAAUUGCAUCUGAUACUGGGUAACUAGAGUUUAAGAGAGGAGUGUGGAAUUUCCGGUGUAGCGGUGAAAUGCAUAGAGAUCGGAAGGAACAUCAGUGGCGAAGGCGGCACUCUGGCUUAAAACUGACGCUGAGGAACGAAAGCGUGGGUAGCAAACAGGAUUAGAUACCCUAGUAGUCC
Molecule: ribosomal RNA, 274 nt
Filed under: uncultured bacterium
Lineage: Bacteria
Description: partial 16S ribosomal RNA
Rfam family: Bacterial small subunit ribosomal RNA
Source: RNAcentral